UCGGUUCCGGCAGGCCCACGAUCCGUGGCCCU
This 32-nucleotide small RNA is filed under the name Bombyx mori (domestic silkworm). RNAcentral's name for it is "ovarian small RNA-7626". Lineage: Eukaryota; Metazoa; Arthropoda; Insecta; Lepidoptera; Bombycidae. The record is from RNAcentral.